AUUGCGGAAGUUUGGUGGGGAGGGUCGGAGCUGUGGUGGAGAGCUUGUUGUCUAAAACAAGUUCCGGAAGGGAGGCUGCCCCUCGCGGUCCGAGAACCACCGGCCUCCUCUGUUUGAGGGCUGUUACCCCGUGCGCGCUUCGACGUUGCUGCUGUUGGCUCUCCUCGCCCCUCGUUCCCUUGGGAACCGCCUGGGACCUCCGCCAUGUCAUCCACUUCGCCCAACCUCCAGAAAGCGAUAGAUCUGGCUAGCAAAGCAGCGCAAGAAGACAAGGCUGGGAACUACGAAGAAGCCCUUCAGCUCUAUCAGCAUGCUGUGCAGUAUUUUCUUCAUGUCGUUAAAUAUGAAGCACAGGGUGAUAAAGCCAAGCAAAGUAUCAGGGCAAAGUGUACAGAAUAUCUUGAUAGAGCAGAAAAACUAAAGGAGUACCUGAAAAAUAAAGAGAAAAAAGCACAGAAGCCAGUGAAAGAAGGACAGCCGAGUCCAGCAGAUGAGAAGGGGUGCCAUUGUUAUAGAACGACCAAAUGUGAAAUGGAGUGACGUUGCUGGACUUGAAGGAGCCAAAGAAGCACUGAAAGAGGCUGUGAUACUGCCUAUUAAAUUUCCUCAUCUUUUUACAGGCAAGAGAACACCUUGGAGGGGAAUCCUAUUAUUUGGGCCGCCUGGAACAGGAAAGUCCUACUUAGCCAAAGCUGUAGCAACAGAAGCCAACAACUCAACAUUUUUUUCAAUAUCUUCCUCUGAUCUUGUUUCUAAGUGGCUAGGUGAAAGUGAAAAACUGGUUAAGAAUUUAUUCCAACUUGCCAGAGAGAAUAAGCCCUCCAUUAUCUUCAUUGAUGAAAUUGAUUCUCUGUGUGGUUCAAGAAGUGAAAAUGAAAGUGAAGCCGCACGUAGAAUUAAGACGGAGUUCCUAGUGCAAAUGCAAGGGGUUGGUGUAGACAAUGAUGGAAUUUUGGUUCUGGGAGCUACAAAUAUACCCUGGGUUCUGGAUUCUGCCAUUAGGCGAAGAUUUGAGAAACGAAUUUAUAUUCCUUUGCCGGAACCCCAUGCCCGAGCAGCAAUGUUUAAACUGCACCUGGGGACCACUCAGAACAGUCUGACGGAAGCAGACUUUCGGGAACUUGGGAGGAAAACAGAUGGUUAUUCAGGGGCAGAUAUAAGUAUCAUUGUACGUGAUGCCCUUAUGCAGCCUGUUAGGAAAGUACAGUCAGCUACUCAUUUUAAAAAGGUAAGUCAUUUUCAUUUAUCCUUUCCUAUCUUUUUUUCUUUUUUUUUUUUUUUUUUGAGACAGUCUCACUCUGUCGCCCAGGCUGGAGUGCAAUGGCACUAUCUCAGCUCGCUGCAACCUCCGCCUCCCGGGUUCAAGCAAUUCUCGUGCCUCAGCCUCCUGAGUAGCUGGAAUUACAGGCGUGUGCCACCAUGCCUGGCUAAUUUUUUGUAUUUUUAGUAGAGACGGGAUUUCACCAUGUUGGCCAGGCUCGUCUCGAACUCCUGACUCCAGGUGAUCCACCCACCUCGGCCUCCCAAAGGCAUGAGCCACUGCGCGUGGCCACUUUCGUAUAUUUUUAAAAUCAAGUUUUAAGACCGUCAUUGGUUUGUCUUCAAAGAAUUUGGGAGGAUUUCAGUGUUGUAUAAUAAUACAAUAAGUGGGUUUACAUAAUAGACAUAUUUCUGUGUCACUG
Molecule: small RNA, 1682 nt
Filed under: Pongo abelii (Sumatran orangutan)
Lineage: Eukaryota; Metazoa; Chordata; Mammalia; Primates; Hominidae
Description: retained intron
Source: RNAcentral